CAGCAGUGGGGAUAUUGGACAAUGGGGGCAACCCUGAUCCAGCCAUGCCGCGUGUGUGAAGAAGGCCUUUUGGUUGUAAAGCACUUUAAGCAGUGAAGAAGACUCCAUGGUUAAUACCCAUGGACGAUGACAUUAGCUGCAGAAUAAGCACCGGCUAACUCUGUGCCAGCAGCCGCGGUAAUACAGAGGGUGCAAGCGUUAAUCGGAAUUACUGGGCGUAAAGCGAGCGUAGGUGGCUUGAUAAGUCAGAUGUGAAAGCCCCGGGCUUAACCUGGGAACGGCAUCUGAUACUGUUAGGCUAGAGUAGGUGAGAGGAAGGUAGAAUUCCAGGUGUAGCGGUGAAAUGCGUAGAGAUCUGGAGGAAUACCGAUGGCGAAGGCAGCCUUCUGGCAUCAUACUGACACUGAGGUUCGAAAGCGUGGGUAGCAAACAGGAUUAGAUACCCUGGUAGUCCACGCCGUAAACGAUGUCUACUAGUCGUUGGGUCCCUUGAGGACUUAGUGACGCAGCUAACGCAAUAAGUAGACCGCCUGGGGAGUACGGCCGCAAGGUUAAAACUCAAAUGAAUUGACGGGGCC
This 578-nucleotide ribosomal RNA is filed under the name Psychrobacter sp. RNAcentral's name for it is "bacterial SSU rRNA". It matches the Rfam family "Bacterial small subunit ribosomal RNA", at positions 349 to 920 of the family's 1533-position model. The record is from RNAcentral. Lineage: Bacteria; Pseudomonadati; Pseudomonadota; Gammaproteobacteria; Moraxellales; Moraxellaceae.